UGGGGAAUUUUGGACAAUGGGCGCAAGCCUGAUCCAGCCAUGCCGCGUGCGGGAAGAAGGCCUUCGGGUUGUAAACCGCUUUUGUCAGGGAAGAAAUCUUCUGAGUUAAUACCUCGGGAGGAUGACGGUACCUGAAGAAUAAGCACCGGCUAACUACGUGCCAGCAGCCGCGGUAAUACGUAGGGUGCAAGCGUUAAUCGGAAUUACUGGGCGUAAAGCGUGCGCAGGCGGUUUUGUAAGACAGAGGUGAAAUCCCCGGGCUCAACCUGGGAACUGCCUUUGUGACUGCAAGGCUUGAGUGCGGCAGAGGGGGAUGGAAUUCCGCGUGUAGCAGUGAAAUGCGUAGAUAUGCGGAGGAACACCGAUGGCGAAGGCAAUCCCCUGGGCCUGCACUGACGCUCAUGCACGAAAGCGUGGGGAGCAAACAGGAUUAGAUAGCCCCUGGUAGUCCACGCCCUAAACGAUGUCAACUGGUUGUUGGGAAGGUUCCUUCUCAGUAACGUAGCUAACGCGUGAAGUUGACCGCCUGGGGAGUACGGCCGCAAGGUUGAAACUCAAAGGAAUUGACGGGGUCA
Molecule: ribosomal RNA, 575 nt
Filed under: uncultured bacterium
Lineage: Bacteria
Description: partial 16S ribosomal RNA
Rfam family: Bacterial small subunit ribosomal RNA
Source: RNAcentral